RNAcentral lists this ribosomal RNA (649 nucleotides) under uncultured bacterium. Its description in RNAcentral is "bacterial SSU rRNA". It matches the Rfam family "Bacterial small subunit ribosomal RNA", at positions 378 to 1029 of the family's 1533-position model. The record is from RNAcentral.
GCAGCCUGACCAGCCAUGCCGCGUGCAGGAAGACGGCCCUAUGGGUUGUAAACUGCUUUUAUCAGGGAAUAAACCCCCGCUCGUGAGCGGGGCUGAAGGUACCUGAGGAAUAAGCAUCGGCUAACUCCGUGCCAGCAGCCGCGGUAAUACGGAGGAUGCAAGCGUUAUCCGGAUUCAUUGGGUUUAAAGGGUGCGCAGGCGGAUUGGUAAGUCAGGGGUGAAAUCCCACAGCUCAACUGUGGAACUGCCUUUGAUACUGUCAGUCUAGAGUAUAGUUGAAGUUGGCGGAAUGUGUCAUGUAGCGGUGAAAUGCUUAGAUAUGACACAGAACACCGAUCGCGAAGGCAGCUAGCUAAGCUAUAACUGACGCUCAUGCACGAAAGCGUGGGGAUCAAACAGGAUUAGAUACCCUGGUAGUCCACGCUGUAAACGAUGAUUACUCGAUGUUGGCGAUACACAGUCAGCGUCUGAGCGAAAGCAAUAAGUAAUCCACCUGGGGAGUACGAUCGCAAGAUUGAAACUCAAAGGAAUUGACGGGGGCCCGCACAAGCGGAGGAGCAUGUGGUUUAAUUCGAUGAUACGCGAGGAACCUUACCUGGGCUCGAACGUAAGAUGACUGUAGGUGAAAGCUUACAUCUCUUCGGAGCAU